RNAcentral lists this small RNA (904 nucleotides) under uncultured bacterium. RNAcentral describes it as "bacterial SSU rRNA". The stretch from base 1 to 493 matches the Rfam family "Bacterial small subunit ribosomal RNA", at positions 1045 to 1533 of the family's 1533-position model. The record is from RNAcentral.
AUGGCUGUCGUCAGCUCGUGUCGUGAGAUGUUGGGUUAAGUCCCGCAACGAGCGCAACCCUUACUUUUAGUUGCUACCAUUUAGUUGGGCACUCUAAAAGAACUGCCAGUGAUAAGCUGGAGGAAGGUGGGGAUGACGUCAAGUCCUCAUGGCCUUUAUGCCCCGGGCUACACACGUGCUACAAUGGGCGGUACAAAGAGCAGCCAACUCGCGAGAGUGAGCGAAUCUCAGAAAACCGUCCACAGUUCGGAUUGCAGUCUGCAACUCGACUGCAUGAAGUUGGAAUCGCUAGUAAUCGCGGAUCAGCACGCCGCGGUGAAUACGUUCCCGGGCCUUGUACACACCGCCCGUCACAUCACGGGAGUGGGCUGUACUAGAAGUCGCUGGGCCAACCUGCUUCGGCAGGAGGUAAGCGCCGACGGUAUGGUUCAUGACUGGGGUGAAGUCGUAACAAGGUAGCUGUAGGAGAACCUGUGGCUGGAUCACCUCCUUUCUAACGGAAACCCGCAGAGGUCUCGGUUCUUACAAUCGAGAGCACCCUCUGCCAAAAAAUGGCUCACUGUCUGGUUGUCUGAGUUCACCAGGGGCUCAGUGUUUUUUUAUAGGGAUCGGCGCAUUGACAAAAUCGCUGUUUCUCUCCUAAAAUACGAGUUUGGUCCUAGCGACCAAAGUGCACCCUUUUUAGGGUGUUGUGGGAUCUUUGAAAAUUCGGAAAACAUGGGCAAAACUACAUCAAGUUUUGAGCAGAAUUUCUUGUGCAACAAGAAAUUCUAGGUCAAGCUACUAAGGGUGUACGGUGGAUGCCUUGGUGCGAAGAGACGAUGAAGGACGUGGCAAGCUGCGAAAAGCCUCGGUGAGUUGCAAGCAAACGAAGACCCGGGGAUGUCCGAAUGGGGAAACCCGG